Long non-coding RNA from Myxocyprinus asiaticus (Chinese sucker), 9287 nucleotides. RefSeq lists it as uncharacterized. NCBI's taxonomy places the organism in Eukaryota, Metazoa, Chordata, Actinopteri, Cypriniformes, Catostomidae. The transcript is spliced from 4 exons. The record is from RefSeq and is a predicted model, not a curated record.
UCCAAGUUGGUCUCUUAUGCUUUUUCCUAUGGUAGAGCUGCUGAGGUAGGAUUCAAAUCAUAAAAUAAUCUUUAGCUCAUCUUCAGUUCCUCGCGCUUGGCGCAUGCGCAGAGCACGUUUAUAGACAGUUUUCAGAGACUGUGAUGACGCGUUUCCGCCUUAUCAGCGUAAAUCUCGCAUUUUUCUUUUUUUUUUUACAUUAUACAAUUUUUAAAUAUUUAGUGAAAAUUUAUAACAUUAUGCUUUGUUUUAUAUUAACCUUGAAUUAGUUUUAAAAAACGAAUUACCACAGCUGCCAGGGGUUUUCUAUUACAGCUGCUGAAAGAGUUACAGUAAAUUUGACAUCUUCUCCUUAUCUGACUGUCUUAAUCCACCGCUCUAGUUUUUUCCCUUUUCUGGAAAGUCAUUCAAACGUAAUAGUGGAUUUUUUUCUUUUGGUCUUGGAGCAAAUGGGUAAGUAAAAAUAAUAUUUGCUGUGAUCUCCCGUUCAUGUACAUUUAUGCAUUUGGCAGAUGCUUUUAUCCAAAGCGACUUACAGUGCACUUAUUACAGGGACAAUCCCCCUGGAGCAACCUGGAGUUAAGUGCCUUGCUCAAGGACACAAUGGUGGUGGCUCUGGGGAUUGAACCGGUAACCUGCUUACCAGUUGCUUUAACCCACUACGCCACCACCACACCAUUCACUCCUGUUCACCGUUGUUGAAGUUUACCUUGCAAAUGUUUACUUCUGCGUUCCAAAACCCAGAGUGUGAAAAAGGUCUAUUGUGCACGUACAGCGCUCUGUGCAUGCGUCAGGCGCGAGGAAACAGAAAACCUCAGGGCAAAACCAAAAAGCAGGAGCGAGGGUCCCUUCUGAGCUCUUGCAGCGAUCACAUAGAGGGGAUAACACUGUAUAUAUUUUAUGAAGCUUUACUUUCGAAUAGUGCAAUCUGUGCAUCACUUUAAACUGCAUUAAUUGUACCCUAGUAUGGAACAAAUAUGUAUUUUUUUCAAUUCCUCUUCCCAAAUAUCAUCAGAAAGUGUGACACAAUAUUGUUCUCCCAAGCUGUUUUAAGACAGUCUGAGGAUACUGUAACCUGAGAGCAAAACAUGGAAACAAACCGUGACGCCAGAUGCCUACAACAAGGGGCUGACGCAACAGACUAUACACAAAUGUAUCUUGUGGCAAAUUCUGAAAGUCAGAGAAAGUGUGUUUUACGUAGAGACACGCCUGCUGGUAACGAAAGAAAUGAGACUGGGAAAGGUCAAAAGUCUUAUUAAAGUGGUCAAAGGCAGCAAAUUUACCUUUUUAAUAAAAAUCCUUCACAGUGGCUAGACCUUUGCUUUUCCAGAUUGAAAAUAUUUUAUCAGAGUGGCCAGGCAAAAAAAUUAUGAUUUUUCACAGAUGGGCAGGAAUACUGAAGGAUGCGUGAUGUUCAAUGCAUUCCUAAUUUAGUUCAGAAUUCUAAUUCUAACAAAGUUUUUACAAUUAAACCUUUUCGACGAAUCAGCACUAGAGAAAAUAAUUGCUGCGAGAGAGCUACCAGGUCUCGAGCCUCCAUGCGUAACCACUUGGGAGACACAUCAACCGGGCCAUCUGUACUAUAUGGAUGACUGCUCUGCCAGUACACCAUAGUCCCUGGCAUUGGCAGAUCAAUAAUAAUGCUGAAAAACAGGUAGCAAAGAAGAGAGACCUUUCAUAUCAGGGUGAAGCAAUCUAUCUACAGGAGUCUGCAGUUGCAUAUCAUUAUCAUCGCAUAUAUAUUUGACUUGAAUGCUGACGCGUAAGUGGCAGCGGAAGUGGUAGCCCUCGUGUGAAGCCCUCCUCAUGUGAAGACCUACUUGGGUAAAGACCAGCGAGUCUACCUGUGCGAGUCCACCGAGCAAAGACACCGACAAGGCGCCACUCACCAUAGCAUUUAAGUAUCUUGUUAUUGUGUCGCUUUUCUUAUUUUCCUUCUAUAUACUAACAUGUCUGCUUAUCAAAUAACACAUGCCUUCAAGCACAUCCCUGUUAUCUGUUACAGACCGUUUACACGAUAUCGAUGCAAGACCAAACGCAACCCACACAACCUACGGCCACUUUGCACUUCAGCACCUGCUCCGCUCUCUUUCUCAGUGGGACUCUGGAACUGCCAGUCAGCUGUGAACAAAGCUGACUUCAUUCCAGCUUUUGCCACGCAGUCCAUCCUCAGCAUUCUGGCACUGACAGAAACAUGGAUACGUCCAGAGGAUACAGCAACACCUGCUGCUCUCUCCAACAACUUCUCCUUCUCUCACAACCCUCGACACACCAAUAGGGGUGGGGGAACAGGUUUGCUCAUUCAUAACAACUGGACUUUUUCACCACACUCUUUCUUCCUUACGUGGAGUGGUGGUGGUGUAGUGGACUAAAGCACUGAACUGGUAAGCAAAAGGUUGUUGGUUCAAUUCCCACAGCCACCACCAUUGUGUCCUUGAGCAAGGCACUUAACUCCAGGUUGCUCCAGGGGGAUUGUCCCUGUAAUAAGGGCACUGUAAGUCACUUUGGAUAAAAGCAUCUGCCAAAUGCAUAAAUGUAAAUGUUAUGUAACAAUACUAGUUUUGAAUUCCAUGCUAUUACUACAAUGCAACCCACAAAAAUACAUGUUGUUGUCAUCUAUCACCCUCCAGGUCAGCUGACAAACUUUCUUGAGGAGCUGGAUGUCCUGCUAUCCUCGUUGCCGGAAGAUGGUAGGCCACUUGUGGUUCUUAGUGAUUUCAACAUACACCAAGACAAGCCCCAGGCCACUGAACUGAAUAUUCUCCUGGCCUCAUUUGACUUGGAAAAACUACACACCACAGCAACUCACAGAUCGGGCAACCAGCUGGACCUCAUUUUUACACGCCAGCACGUGCUACACCACCCAGCCCCUGGCUGUCUGACGUCCUUUGUGAACAUCGGACUGACCUCAGGGCAGCUGAGAGGAGAUGGCGGAAAUCUAAAGAUCCAGCAGAUCUAGAACAAGCUGUUGGAUGACAAUCAGUCAGGCUUCAAAAGUGGACACUCCACUGAGACUGCCCUGCUGUCUGUCACUGAGUCGCUGAGAUGGGCGAAAGCUGAAUCCAGAUCAUCCGUCCUGAUUCUGCUGGACCUUUCUGCAGCCUUUGACACAGUCAACCAUCAGAGCUUACUCUCUACCCUCUCCUCGCUGGGCAUCACAGGAACUGUGCUUGACUGGUUUAAUUCCUAUCUCUCAGGAAGGUCCUUCAAGGUAGCCUGGAGAGGUGAGGUAUCCAAGCCACAUCAGCUACUUACUGGGGUACCUCAGGGAUCAGUGCUUGGGCCACUUCUCUUCUCUAUAUACACAACAUCACUGGGACCCAUCAUUCAGGCACAUGGUUUCUCUUACCACUGCUACGCUGAUGAGACGCAACUCUACUUGUCUUUCCAGCCCAACGACACCACAAUGACUGCUCGAAUUUCUGCCUGCCUGGUGGACAUCUCAGCCUGGAUGAAGGAGCACCACCUGCAACUCAAUCCAGCCAAGACUGAACUCCUUGUCUUUCCAGCCAACCCUGCUGUUGAACACAACAUCACCGUGCAGCUGGGUGCAACUACAGUAACGCCUUCCAAAUCAGUAGGGGUAACCAUCGACAACAGACUAAAUUUCACAGACCACAUCUCAAAGACCGCAAGAUCAUGUAGAUUUACACUGUACAAUAUCAGGAAGAUAAGACCCUUCCUCUCUGAACAUGCCACACAACUGCUUGUCCAGUCACUUGUCAUAACUAGACUGGACUACUGUAAUGCUCUCAUUGCAGGCCUCCCUGCAUGUGCAAUUAGACCCCUGCAAAUGAUCCAGAAUGCAGCAGCACGUCUGGUCUUUAAUGAACCAAAGAGAGCACGUUACACCACUCCUUGUCUCUCUCCACUGGCUGCCGGUUGAUGCACAUAUCAAAUUCAAGGCUCUGAUGCUGGCAUACAGAACAGUCACUGGGUCUGCUCCAGCAUACCUAAAAUCAUUUAUGCAGAGCUACGCGCCCACUAGAAGCCUGCGGUCGGCUAAGGAACGUCGUCUUGUUGUACCUACACAAAGAGGCACCAAAACACUUUCCCGGACUUUCAGCUUCAUCGUACCACGUUGGUGGAACGACCUUCCCAACUCCAUCCUUGAAGCUGACUCACUCUCGGUCUUCAAAAAACGACUAAAAACACAUCUUUUCCAUGAGCACUUAACCAGUUAUUUAAAAAAAUGUUAUUAAAAAAUAAAUAAAUAAAAAUAAUAUAUAUAUUCCUGUUGCAAUUUAUUCUGUUUUGAAUACUAUUAUGAUGCUAGUGAAACUUUGUAAUACAGCACUUUUCAUACCACUGUCUCCUUAAGAUGAUUCGCUUAUGUUUUCCUCUUUUGUAAGUCACUUUGGAUACAAGCGUCUGCCAAAUGAAUAAAUGUAAAUUAUUGCGAAUACAAAUGGCUAAAGGCUCUAGUGCCAUAUCGAAUAACAAUGGCCUUGAACCAAGUUGAAGAGGGGGAAAAAAUGAUUUGUCUGAGUUUGUACGUGUAGCUGAUAUGAGAGGAAUUAAUUAUUUUAGAUCAGUAAUCUAAACUUCUCGCCAAGCCAAACUGCUCUUGCAGAAAGAACAUGUAACUCCAUUCAAUCUGGUCAAAGCCAUUAUUGGCAUCUAAUGAAAUGACAACUGCCUUUGAGCCCUUACUAUGAUUUCCAAAGAUGAUGUUUAACAGGCGACGUAUGUUGGAAAUUGAAAAUCUGCCUGGAACAAUGCCAGUUUGAUCCUAGUGAAAUAAAGAGGCCUCAUGUCUACGCAGUUGGGUGAUCAAAAUCUUAGUGAACACUUUUUGGUUUAAAGUUAAGAAGACUUAUUGGUCUGAAACUAACAGGCUUUGUAUCAUCCCUAUGCUUUUUCCUCAGCAAACAUACAUGAGCCUCAUACAGUCAAUCUGUGAAAAUCCUAUUAUCAGUUGAGUGAUUUAUAAUUCUAAGCAUCGAAGCGGCGAUAGAAUUUGCACGUGCUUUAUAGAAUUCCACACCAAACCCAAAUAUAUAUAUACACACACACACAGGCGGCCAAAAGCUUGGAAUAAUGUAUAACCGCUGCCUCGACCUCGCAUAAGCAUCGGCUACAAAUCUGAUUUAUAGGGGAGGGACCCAUUAUCUAUUUUAUCAGGACAGCAGUUCAGUGUUUGGAGUGAUAAGCCAGGCAUACUUUCUCCAUUACAGACUGAGUUCUUCUAAUACCUACACCUGUCUUAUACCUGAGAGUACUUCUCUCUAGCGCCCUCUCAGGGUGAGUAGUAGAAUUAACAUGUAAACAGGUGUGUGACUGUUACAAAUGUACAGAUAAAAAUGGCAAAAAUGAAACAGCUUUCUCUAGAAACCCUGUCAGUCAAUCAUUGUUUUGAGGGAAGAAGGCUAUACAAUGCUUGAAAUUGCCAAAAAACUGAAGAUAUCGUACAAAGGUGUACACUACAUUAUUCAAAGACAAAGGACAACUGGCUCUAUCAAGGACAGAAAGAGAUGUGGAAGGCCAGAUGUACAACUAAACAAGAGGAUAAGUACAUCAGAGUCUCUAGUUUGAGAAAUAGACGCCUCACAUGUCCUCAGCUGACAGCUUCAUUGAAUUCUACCCGCUCAACACCAGUUUCAGGUACAACAGUAAAGAGGCCUUAUGGGGAGAAUUUCAAAGAAAAAGACACUUUUGAAACAGAAAAACAAAAAGAAAAGUUUAGAGUGUGCAAAUAAACACAGACAUUGGACAACAGAUAAUUGGAAAAGAGUGUUAUGGAUCUUAAGCCCAUUGAGAUUUUGUGGGAUCAGCUAGAUGGUAAGGUGCGUGAGAAGUGCAAGACAAGACAGCCACAUCUAUGGCAAGUGCUACAGGAAGUGUGGGGUGAAAUGUCACCUGAGUAUCUGGACAAACUGACAGCUAGAAUGCCAAGGAUCUUCAAAGCUGUCAUUGCUGCACAUGGAGGAUUUUUUGAUGAGAACUCUUUGAAGUAGUUUUUUUCAAAUUGUAAUAGUAAUUUUUCACGUUAUUAAUGUCUUGACUAUACGUUGUGAUCAGUUGAAUGCCACUUUGGUGAAUAAAAGUACCAAUUUCUUUACAUAAGAGCAAAAUCUGUACAUUAUUCCAAACAUUUGGCCACCAAUGUAUAUACAGUUGAAAUCAGAAGUUUACAUACACUUAGGUUGAAGUCAUUAAAACUCAUUUUUUAACCACUCCACAGAUUUCAUAUUAGCAAACUAUAGAUUUGGCAAGUCGUUUAGGACAUCUACUUGUGUGUGACAUAAGUAAUUUUUCCAACAAUUGUUUACAGACAGAUUGUUUCACUUUUAAUUGACUAUAUCACAAUUCCAGUGGGUCAGAAGUUUACAUAUACAUUAAUUGUGCCUUUAAGCAGCUUGGAAAAUUCCAGAAAAUUAUGUCAAGCCUUUAGGCAAUUAGCCAAUUAGCUUUUGAUAGGCUAAUUGGCUAAUUGGAGGUCUACCUGUGAAUGUAUUUUAAGGCCUACUUUCAAACUCAGUGCCUCUUUGCUUGACAUCAUGGGAAAAUCAAAAGAAAUCAGCCAAAACCUCAGAAAAAAAUAAUUGUGGACCUCCACAAGUCUGGUUCAUCCUUGGGAGCAAUUUUCAAAUGCCUGAUGGUACCAUGUUCAUCUGUAUAAACAAUAGUACGCAAGUAUAAACACCAUGGGACCACGCAGCCAUCAUACCGCUCAGGAAGGAGACGCAUUCUGUCUCCUAGAGAUGAAUGUAGUUUGGGGCGAAAAGUACAAAUCAAUCCCAGAACAACUGCAAAGGACCUUGUGAAAAUGCUGGAGGAAAGAGGUAGACAAGUAUCUAUAUCCACAGUAAAACGAGUCCUGUAUCGACAUAACCUGAAAGGCUGCUUAGCAUGGAAGAAGACACUGCUCCAAAACCACCAUACAAAGCCAGACUACAGUUUGCAAGUGCUCAUGGGGACAAAGAUCUUAAUUUUUGGAGUAAUGUCCUCUGAUCUGAUGAAACAAAAAUGUAACUGUUUGGCCAUAAUGACAAUCGUUAUGUUUGGAGGAAAAAGGGUGAGGAUUGCAAGUUGAAGAACACCAUCCCAACCGUGAAGCAUGGGGGUGGCAGCAUCAUGUUGUGGGGGUGCUUUGCUGCAGGAGGGACUGGUGCACUUCAAAAAAUAGAUGGCAUCAUGAGGAAGGAAAAUUAUGUGGAUAUACUGAAGCAACAUCUCAAGACAUCAGCCAUGAAGUUAAAGCUCAGUCACAAAUGGGUCUUCCAAAUGGACAAUAACCCCAAGCAUACCUCCAAAGUUGUGGCAAAAAUGGCUUUGGGACAACAAAGUCAAAGCAUUGGAGUGGCCAUCACAAUGCCCUGACUUCAAUCUGAUAGAAAAUUUGUGGGCAGAACUGAGAAUGCAUCUGUGAGCAAGGAGGCCUACAAACCAGACUCAGUUACACCAGUUCUGUCUGGAGGAAUGGGCCAAUAUUCCAGCAACUUAUUGUGAAAAGCUUGUGCAAGGCUACCCAAAAUGUUUGACCCAAGUUAAACAAUUUAAAGUCAAUGCUACUAAAUACUAACAAAGUGUAUGUAAACUUCUGACCCACUGGGAAUGAGAUGAAAGUAAUAAAAGCUGAAAUAAAUAAUUCUCUCUACUAUUAUUCUGACAUUUAACAUUCUUAAAAUAAAGUAGUGAUCCCAACUGACCUAAGACAGGGAAUGUUUUCUACGAUUAAAUGUCAGGAAUUGUGAAGAACUGAGUUUAAAUGUAUUUGGCUAAGGUGUAUGUAAACUUCUGACUUCAACUGUAACAAAGCAAAUAUUGAUUAGUGAGUUUAAAGUGUGUUCCUUUACCCUAUCAAUCAAUGCAAUGACUUUUUCAAAUAAUUAUUUGUAAAACUGCAUGUAGUGUAUAUAAAAACAUAAUGUAAAAAAUGCGCCAUCUGAUUGAAGUCUGUCCCAAAUGCACACUUUUACCACUCGUGCCCCCUCAUGGACUUGCUGACUAGCACCUCAUCAGUCUGCACUUGCUUACGUCACCAAAGUCUGCAAUCAGAGGAAGACCGCAAGGGUGGAGGGUGGAAUUUGGGACUGGGCCAAUGUAGCAGAUAUGUUGUAUUAAACUGAGAUGAGACUGUUUGCACGAGUGAGGCUGUCUUAAAUAUAAAAAGAUAUUUACAUUUAGUUAUUUAGUAGAUGCUUUUAUCCAAAGCGACUUACAAAAGAAAGACAUAGCAAGCAAUUUGUCAUAGAAAGUUCAACAACAUCUACAGUGUUGUACUGCCAAGCUCUCAAGGUGUAGUAUAGGUGCUAGCGCAGAAGAAAUAUUUUAUUUUUUUUGUACAGUAAGUGGAAGUUCAGUAGUAAGUGCAAUUGGUGUGGAUUGGUUAAAUGCUCUGAACAGAUGUGUUUUCAGAUGGUUCUUGAAAGUUGAGAUGGUAUCAGCAGAUAGUGUGAAGGUUGGAAACUCAUUCCGCCACAGAGGAACAGAGAAAGUGAACGACCGUGAAAUAGACUUUGAGCCUUUGUGUGAUGGGACCACCAAGCCAGAGUCAAAGCCAUGAAUUUGAUGCAGGCAUCUACAGGUAGCCAGUGGAGUGAAAUCAAGAGAGGGGUGACAUGAGCCAUUUUUGGCUUACUGAAGACCAGAUGCGCUGCUGCAUUCGGACCAUCCGCAGUGGCUUAAUCGUGUUAGCUAGGAGCCCAACCAACAAAGCAUUAAAAUACUCCAGUCUUGAAAUGACCAGAGCUUGGACCAGGAGUUAUGCAGCAUAUUCAGACAGAACAUUUCUGAAUUUCCUGAUAUUAUAGAGCACAAAUCUUCAAGACUGGGUGGUUGAUGAGAUGUGGGCGGUAAAAUUAAGCUGGUCAUCUACCACCAAUCCCAGGUUCCGAGCUGUUCUGGUUGGUGUAAGUGUAGUUGAACCAAGAUGAAUAGUGAGGCUGUGGUCAACAGAUGGGUUGACUGGGAUCAUGAGGAGUUCUGUCUUGGCAAGGUUGAGUUGAAGGUGAUGUUUUUUUCAUCCAAAGAGGAAAAGAACCAAACAUUACACCUGUGUAGACUGGCAAUACUGAUGUGGAUCCAGAUAAAAGUUUAAAUCACCGCCGAGAAUCAGAUUGGUUGAGCUAGGGUCUGGAAGUAAAUUAAAAAAACUUUGCAGAAGAAACUGGGAUCAUCCAUAUUUAGACCUUACACAUUCACAGGUUACAGGGAAAUUAUUAAUGAAUCCAGAUACUAUAGUGUAUCUCCCCACCAGGUCAGCCACUACGAAUUGCAUAUGAAAAGGAAUGGAUUUUCUUAAUAACACACAGUGCAUUCAUAAAGUAUUCAGACCCCUUCAU